RNAcentral lists this ribosomal RNA (633 nucleotides) under uncultured bacterium. RNAcentral describes it as "bacterial SSU rRNA". It matches the Rfam family "Bacterial small subunit ribosomal RNA", at positions 79 to 708 of the family's 1533-position model. The record is from RNAcentral.
CUUGCUUCUCUUGAGAGCGGCGGACGGGUGAGUAAUGCCUAGGAAUCUGCCUGGUAGUGGGGGAUAACGUCCGGAAACGGACGCUAAUACCGCAUACGUCCUACGGGAGAAAGCAGGGGACCUUCGGGCCUUGCGCUAUCAGAUGAGCCUAGGUCGGAUUAGCUAGUUGGUGGGGUAAUGGCUCACCAAGGCGACGAUCCGUAACUGGUCUGAGAGGAUGAUCAGUCACACUGGAACUGAGACACGGUCCAGACUCCUACGGGAGGCAGCAGUGGGGAAUAUUGGACAAUGGGCGAAAGCCUGAUCCAGCCAUGCCGCGUGUGUGAAGAAGGUCUUCGGAUUGUAAAGCACUUUAAGUUGGGAGGAAGGGCAGUAAAUUAAUACUUUGCUGUUUUGACGUUACCGACAGAAUAAGCACCGGCUAACUCUGUGUCAGCAGCCGCGGUAAUACAGAGGGUGCAAGCGUUAAUCGGAAUUACUGGGCGUAAAGCGCGCGUAGGUGGUUCGUUAAGUUGGAUGUGAAAUCCCCGGGCUCAACCUGGGAACUGCAUUCAAAACUGACGAGCUAGAGUAUGGUAGAGGGUGGUGGAAUUUCCUGUGUAGCGGUGAAAUGCGUAGAUAUAGGAAGGAACA